Astatotilapia calliptera (eastern happy) is the source of this 875-nucleotide long non-coding RNA. Lineage: Eukaryota; Metazoa; Chordata; Actinopteri; Cichliformes; Cichlidae. The record is from Ensembl.
GCUAAGCUUACUUGCGUAUUAGUGGCCCUGACUAAUAGCAGGCUAGUAAAACGAUGAUUCUCCCUGUUUUUCUUCUGUGGCUACACUGAGUAUUAAUCUAUUCUGAAGUAUUCUAGCACGUUGUACGGCUUUUACUUGGCUUUUUGUGGAUAAACGCAUGAGCAUUGGAGAUGCUGGUAAGGAGUUUUUAGGGGUUUUUCUUUACAUUUCAGACAGAGUCAGGCUACCCGUUCUCGUUUCUGUGUACUAAGCUAUCAGGCCUUGUAAUUAUUGUACAGACAUGAGAGUACUAUCAGUCUUUCUAAUUCUUGUUAUGACAGCAAAUAAGAAAAAUAUCAAGCUACUUCUUUAAAUAUAAUCCUUACUUUUGAUUCCUACUUGUAUCAUAUUCCAAACUGGCAGGCAAACUGUAUAUCGGAGCUCUCUGCUUCUGUAGAACAUGCAUCACCAAUGUUUAGACUAAAAAGGCACAUUUCAAGAUUUUCUUUGAUUACUCGUUAAUUUCUGAAUUUUUUUUUUUAAUAGUGAUUGCUUGUCUUAUGUAAUGAUGUGUUUAUGUAUUGGGGUUGCCUAUGAUUAUGGGGAGGAAUGCACUCACACAUGGAGACAGAAUAUCAAGAGGAACACAGCCUCAAGUAACAGUGGUGAGAGCAUGCUUUGUUGAAGAUGGAUAGCACUACCUAGAUACACAGGGGACCGACUGCACUGUGGAGAAGAAAGCCAAAUCCUAAUUCUGGCAGUGUCAGCUCAGUGAUACAACUAAUGCCCAGAGCAGGUUCUCUUCUCACGCAGUUAAAGCUUUGUCUUGGCAGAACAGUCACCACGACACCCAUAAUCACUGAAGAACUCCCUCUUGGGCAUUAUUGCAAUAAUAA